AAUGCGCUUCCCUUUAGAGGG
RNAcentral lists this microRNA (21 nucleotides) under Macaca mulatta (Rhesus monkey). Its description in RNAcentral is "mml-miR-523a". Its record names the gene mml-miR-523a. Lineage: Eukaryota; Metazoa; Chordata; Mammalia; Primates; Cercopithecidae. The record is from miRBase by way of RNAcentral.